UCCUCGGUAGCUCAGCGGUAGAGCGUCCGACUGUUAAUCGGAUGGUCGCCGGUUCGAACCCGGCCUGGGGAGCCA
Molecule: transfer RNA, 75 nt
Filed under: Rhizobium laguerreae
Lineage: Bacteria; Pseudomonadati; Pseudomonadota; Alphaproteobacteria; Hyphomicrobiales; Rhizobiaceae
Description: tRNA-Asn
Rfam family: tRNA
About the family: Transfer RNA (tRNA) molecules are approximately 80 nucleotides in length. Their secondary structure includes four short double-helical elements and three loops (D, anti-codon, and T loops). Further hydrogen bonds mediate the characteristic L-shaped molecular structure. tRNAs have two regions of fundamental functional importance: the anti-codon, which is responsible for specific mRNA codon recognition, and the 3' end, to which the tRNAs corresponding amino acid is attached (by aminoacyl-tRNA synthetases). tRNAs cope with the degeneracy of the genetic code in two manners: having more than one tRNA (with a specific anti-codon) for a particular amino acid; and 'wobble' base-pairing, i.e. permitting non-standard base-pairing at the 3rd anti-codon position.
Source: RNAcentral